GACGAACCGUGCGAACGUUGUUCGGAAUCACUGGGCUUAAAGGGCGCGUAGGCGGCUUGCCAAGUCAGGGGUGAAAUCCUGCAGCUUAACUGUAGAAGGGCCUUUGAUACUGGCGAGCUCGAGGGAGGUAGGGGUAUGUGGAACUUCCGGUGGAGCGGUGAAAUGCGUUGAUAUCGGAAGGAACGCCGGUGGCGAAGGCGGCUCUCUGGGGUAUUGCUGACGCUGAGGCACGAAAGCCAGGGGAGCGAACGGG
This 253-nucleotide ribosomal RNA is filed under the name uncultured bacterium. RNAcentral's name for it is "partial 16S ribosomal RNA". It matches the Rfam family "Bacterial small subunit ribosomal RNA", at positions 524 to 776 of the family's 1533-position model. The record is from RNAcentral.